This 1386-nucleotide ribosomal RNA is filed under the name uncultured bacterium. RNAcentral's name for it is "16S ribosomal RNA". It matches the Rfam family "Bacterial small subunit ribosomal RNA", at positions 28 to 1381 of the family's 1533-position model. The record is from RNAcentral.
GAUGAACGCUGGCGGCGUGCCUAAUACAUGCAAGUCGAACGAAACUUCUUUAUCACCGAGUGCUUGCACUCACCGAUAAAGAGUUGAGUGGCGAACGGGUGAGUAACACGUGGGCAACCUGCCCAAAAGAGGGGGAUAACACUUGGAAACAGGUGCUAAUACCGCAUAACCAUAGUUACCGCAUGGUAACUAUGUAAAAGGUGGCUAUGCUACCGCUUUUGGAUGGGCCCGCGGCGCAUUAGCUAGUUGGUGAGGUAAAGGCUUACCAAGGCAAUGAUGCGUAGCCGAACUGAGAGGUUGAUCGGCCACAUUGGGACUGAGACACGGCCCAAACUCCUACGGGAGGCAGCAGUAGGGAAUCUUCCACAAUGGGCGAAAGCCUGAUGGAGCAACGCCGCGUGGGUGAAGAAGGUCUUCGGAUCGUAAAACCCUGUUGUUAGAGAAGAAAGUGCGUGAGAGUAACUGUUCACGUUUCGACGGUAUCUAACCAGAAAGCCACGGCUAACUACGUGCCAGCAGCCGCGGUAAUACGUAGGUGGCAAGCGUUAUCCGGAUUUAUUGGGCGUAAAGGGAACGCAGGCGGUCUUUUAAGUCUGAUGUGAAAGCCUUCGGCUUAACCGGAGUAGUGCAUUGGAAACUGGGAGACUUGAGUGCAGAAGAGGAGAGUGGAACCUCCAUGUGUAGCGGUGAAAUGCGUAGAUAUAUGGAAGAACACCAGUGGCGAAAGCGGCUCUCUGGUCUGUAACUGACGCUGAGGUUCGAAAGCGUGGGUAGCAAACAGGAUUAGAUACCCUGGUACUCCACGCCGUAAACGAUGAAUGCUAAGUGUUGGAGGGUUUCCGCCCUUCAGUGCUGCAGCUAACGCAAUAAGCAUUCCGCCUGGGGAGUACGACCGCAAGGUUGAAACUCAAAGGAAUUGACGGGGGCCCGCACAAGCGGUGGAGCAUGUGGUUUAAUUCGAAGCAACGCGAAGAACCUUACCAGGUCUUGACAUCUUCUGACAAUCCUAGAGAUAGGACUUUCCCUUCGGGGACAGAAUGACAGGUGGUGCAUGGUUGUCGUCAGCUCGUGUCGUGAGAUGUUGGGUUAAGUCCCGCAACGAGCGCAACCCUUAUUGUUAGUUGCCAGCAUUAAGUUGGGCACUCUAGCAAGACUGCCGGUGACAAACCGGAGGAAGGUGGGGAUGACGUCAAAUCAUCAUGCCCCUUAUGACCUGGGCUACACACGUGCUACAAUGGACGGUACAACGAGUCGCAGGACCGCGAGGCUUAGCAAAUCUCUUAAAGCCGUUCUCAGUUCGGAUUGUAGGCUGCAACUCGCCUACAUGAAGUCGGAAUCGCUAGUAAUCGCGGAUCAGCAUGCCGCGGUGAAUACGUUCCCGGGCCU